Molecule: long non-coding RNA, 915 nt
Organism: Alosa sapidissima (American shad)
Lineage: Eukaryota; Metazoa; Chordata; Actinopteri; Clupeiformes; Clupeidae
Exons: 3
Source: RefSeq, a predicted model, not a curated record
GUCAGGAGGUCACUAAUGUGUAUAUACACCAUCUCAAAAUAUGUGUAUGUGUAGUAUGUAGAGGUUUGUAAUGGCUUGGUCUGAAUCGCUGUAUGGAUCAAAUUUAGGGUGUAUGUAUCUGUGUGUCUGUGUCUCUGUGUCUCUGUGUGUCGGUGUCUGUGUCUGUACGUACCGUUUAGUCCACCCAUCAGGCCUCCACACCCCACAGCUCUGAAUAAACUGCUUCACCAGCUCAUGGUCCUCACGCAGAGCAACAGUGUUGGUGUGUGAGCAGAGUGCAGCAUCUGCCAUCUUCAGUUCCAAGGAGACAGACACACCUUCAGACGGCCGAUACACAAACGCCACAAAGGUCCUGGUGGCCAGAGCAUUACCAAAGCAAACAUGACCCAUUCAUCAUCAUCAACCGUCGAAAACCAGCAAACAGUUCUCACAAACACAUCCCAGGCCUGCUGAGCUAGGUAAAUAAAUCUGAUGGAGAAUCUGAUGGCGUUAUGAAAAGGAAGCUCAGCACCAGGGCAAAACUAACAAAUGACAAAUGGCUGCUCUUUGUUCUUUGACUGUGCUCACUGAUAAACACCUGAGGCCUGAGCUUCAACCUUUAAAAAAAAUGUUCCAUCAACCUGCAGGCAGAAUUAAACAUUAUCCAGUGCUGGCACCAAACAGCUGGUAUACACUUCAGAUAAAGUCUAAACAUCCAUCAGGGUUUAGUCUGUACAUGGCAAUACAGGGGUGAAAAAACAAUAGUUUCUCCUUCCAUUGUAAAUCAGUGACGCUCUCGAGACAAUCCCACCAUCCAACACACACAUCCACAAAUGUGCACACAAACUCAGUACAUCUUUACAACAUCCUUCAUUCAUCCUUUUUUUUCCAUCAUGUCCAAGUGAAAUUUCCAGAGGCACUCGCUCACACACUGAC